This 288-nucleotide small RNA is filed under the name Roseobacter sp. N2S. RNAcentral describes it as "5' ureB small RNA". It matches the Rfam family "5' ureB small RNA". Lineage: Bacteria; Pseudomonadati; Pseudomonadota; Alphaproteobacteria; Rhodobacterales; Roseobacteraceae. The record is from RNAcentral.
AUCUUCCAUUUGUUGGGGGCAGAUAAAGUGGAUGUGGCUGUCCAUCCCGCCUGCGGUCAGGAUGCGCCCCUCGCCUGCGAUCACCUCGGUUCCUGGACCAACGAUAAUAUCGACGCCUGAUUGGGUGUCAGGGUUGCCCGCUUUGCCGAUGGCGUGGAUCAGCCCGUCUUUCAGGGCCACAUCGGCCUUAUAAAUGCCCGAAUGAUCCACGAUCAGCGCGUUGGUGAUGACCGUAUCCACCGCCCCGCCCGCGCGGGUGACUUGGGAUUGGCCCAUGCCGUCACGGAU